Molecule: ribosomal RNA, 487 nt
Filed under: uncultured bacterium
Lineage: Bacteria
Description: partial 16S ribosomal RNA
Rfam family: Bacterial small subunit ribosomal RNA
Source: RNAcentral
GAUGAACGCUAGCGAUAGGCUUAACACAUGCAAGUCGAGGGGCAGCACAAGGUAGCUUGCUCUCUGGGUGGCGACCGGCGCACGGGUGCGUAACGCGUAUGCAACUUGCCCUAUACAGGAGGAUAACCCGUCGAAAGACGGACUAAUACUGCGUAUGCUCACAACUUGGCAUCAAGUGGUGAGGAAAGAAGUUCGGUAUAGGAUAGGCAUGCGUCCCAUUAGCUUGUUGGUGAGGUAACGGCUCACCAAGGCAACGAUGGGUAGGGGAACUGAGAGGUUUAUCCCCCACACUGGUACUGAGACACGGACCAGAAUCCUACGGGAGGCAGCAGUGAGGAAGAUUGGUCAAUGGGCGCGAGCCUGAACCAGCCAAGUCGCGUGAAGGAUGACUGUCUUAUGGAUUGUAAACUUCUUUUAUACGGGAAUAACAAGAGUCACGUGUGACUCCCUGCAUGUACCGUAUGAAUAAGCAUCGGCUAACUCCGUG